GUAGCUAAUACCGCAUAUGAUCUAAGGAUGAAAGCGGGGGAUCGCAAGACCUCGCGCGUUUGGAGCGGCCGAUGGCAGAUUAGGUAGUUGGUGGGGUAAAGGCUUACCAAGCCUGCGAUCUGUAGCUGGUCUGAGAGGACGACCAGCCACACUGGGACUGAGACACGGCCCAGACUCCUACGGGAGGCAGCAGUGGGGAAUUUUGGACAAUGGGCGAAAGCCUGAUCCAGCCAUUCCGCGUGCAGGAUGAAGGCCCUCGGGUUGUAAACUGCUUUUGUACAGAACGAAAAAGCUCUAGUUAAUACCUGGAGUCCAUGACGGUACUGUAAGAAUAAGCACCGGCUAACUACGUGCCAGCAGCCGCGGUAAUACGUAGGGUGCAAGCGUUAAUCGGAAUUACUGGGCGUAAAGCGUGCGCAGGCGGUGAUGUAAGACAGUUGUGAAAUCCCCGGGCUCAACCUGGGAACUGCAUCUGUGACUGCAUCGCUGGAGUGCGGCAGAGGGG
Molecule: ribosomal RNA, 505 nt
Filed under: uncultured bacterium
Lineage: Bacteria
Description: bacterial SSU rRNA
Rfam family: Bacterial small subunit ribosomal RNA
Source: RNAcentral